CCUAAGCCUGACCUCUGAGGGGCCUUGCAGGGAACCCAGCAGCCAGGUGGACUUUUCCAGCUCUGGAUGAAUGUGAACAGGGCCAUGCCUGGGGCCGAGUCAUCGCUUGCUCACCGACCUUCGGGAUCCUCCACCUGAGGGCCAGAAUGCUCUCCGGUGCUCGAGCCCUGUUAGGCCACCUGGUUCCACACUACAAAGACGCAGAGGACAACGGACCACCAGGCCACGGUACUGAGUCCCGCUGCUCCCGGCACAGAGCCCUAGGUGGUCGGCACAGGUGCUGCUGCCUCCCGGGCACCUGCCCUUCUGGCUGCUGUCUGGUGUCCCCUCCAGCCUCAUUCAGAAUGAGCCAGCAUUUGCACGGUGCCCGGCUGUGUCCUGCCAGCCUUCCCUCCACCAGGACACCCUGGAACCUUGUCCUCAUUGCUGACUGUGUGCCCCUGGACUCCCGCCCUGAGCUCACAGCGUGUCCUUCAGCCACCGUCUCUGAAAAUCCACGGUCUGAUAACUCGAUGACUCUCACAGCAAUCCCAGCCCUUGUUUCACGGUGGCAGAGCCAGCUGUCGCUCUCCCCACCAGUGCUAGGACAGCAGGACAGAGCUGAGACCACUGCAGCCAGGAAGCAACGUGCCAGUAGCUGGGUCCACGGGUCUCAGCUUCCGCACAGACUCAGGCCUGGUGCUCAUCGUUCCACCCUGCCUCUCACUUGGCCAGAGCACGAAAUUCGUAAAGUGUCCCAGAGAACACGUGGCUCUGUCGGGGGCCACAUCCUGCGGUGAAGUGAAUCCAAUGUCUCAGGCCCUUCCCAGGCUGGCUUCCUCUUCUACCUGUCUCUCUGACUCCUGCCAGCCCCAUCGAGCAUUCUUGAGACACAAGUCACCUUCCUCUGUCCUAGCCCAGCUGCUGGGUGCUCCCUGCACCUCCCUCUGCGUGUCCCCUGCCGCCCAGGGCUGGUGCUGCUCCUGUGUCCCCUUCUGAGACAGCACUUGCUGAGCACUGACCGCCCCGCUGCCCACGCCACCCACAGAACUGACCCUGCUCUCAGACUGCCUUGGUUUGAGUGUGUCCUCUGCACUUGCUGCGGCUUGUUUCUGGCACCUGGCAGCUGGUGCACAUCCAGCAUUUGUUGAAUAAGUGAGAAAUGGCAAAGGAGGGCAGGCAUUCCUCCCCCGGCCCUGUGCUACUCCAGCUGUGGGAUUUCCCAAGUCUGCUGAGCACCACCCCUGCCGCCACUGUCCUGGGCACUGGAAAAUGGCUGGGCAUAGGGCAAAGGUCUGGGGGACAGAGAGGCAACCUGGUCAGAAUGAGAAGCCACCCACCCAGUGCCCCGAGCCUCCUCUGCUCCCUGGGCCUUGCAUGGAAGGGGUGUCCUGCCCUCUCCACCUUGCUCUGUUAGCCCAGGAUGGUCCCCGCCUAGGGGCUGCAUUCCGCAGGGGGAGAGCUGAGCCUCAGGGACCUCGGGCAAAAGCAGGCUGCUGUGAGUGCCUGCCAUGUGGGGAGGCCUUGGGGUGCGGUGACUUCAUUUUCAUACCGUAAUUCGGAGGGCAGCCUCCACACGACUUCUGCGGCACUUUUCUUGCUAAGAAGCUGACUUGACUGCGAAUCACAGGGGCCUAGGCCACUCGCGGUCACUCAGCACAGGGCUCCCUGUCCCUCCCUUCCAAGGUGCCCGGCUUAGGGAACCCACCAGCGACGAAGCUGGAGGCCCUCCCGUGGGUGACCUAUCCAUACAGGGCAGAGAAGGAACUGAGUGGCUUGGGGACGUCCCUAACCUUU
Molecule: long non-coding RNA, 1776 nt
Organism: Heterocephalus glaber (naked mole-rat)
Lineage: Eukaryota; Metazoa; Chordata; Mammalia; Rodentia; Bathyergidae
Source: RefSeq, a predicted model, not a curated record